Molecule: unclassified non-coding RNA, 136 nt
Filed under: uncultured fungus
Lineage: Eukaryota; Fungi
Description: sequence contains ITS1
Source: RNAcentral
AUCUUUUUUUAUUUAUUACAUAAAAAUUUUAUAACAUUCAAGAGUGGGUUUUAAAUAUAAGUUUGAUCGCAAAACCUUGCUUGACGCUCGGUUCGCUAAACCAGUAAUGAUCCUUCCGCAGGUUCACCUACGGAAA